Molecule: transfer RNA, 85 nt
Filed under: Felis catus (domestic cat)
Lineage: Eukaryota; Metazoa; Chordata; Mammalia; Carnivora; Felidae
Rfam family: tRNA
About the family: Transfer RNA (tRNA) molecules are approximately 80 nucleotides in length. Their secondary structure includes four short double-helical elements and three loops (D, anti-codon, and T loops). Further hydrogen bonds mediate the characteristic L-shaped molecular structure. tRNAs have two regions of fundamental functional importance: the anti-codon, which is responsible for specific mRNA codon recognition, and the 3' end, to which the tRNAs corresponding amino acid is attached (by aminoacyl-tRNA synthetases). tRNAs cope with the degeneracy of the genetic code in two manners: having more than one tRNA (with a specific anti-codon) for a particular amino acid; and 'wobble' base-pairing, i.e. permitting non-standard base-pairing at the 3rd anti-codon position.
Source: Rfam by way of RNAcentral
GCCUGGGUGGCUCAGUCGGUUGAGCGUCCGACUUCGGCUCAGGUCACGAUCUCACGGUUCGUGGGUUUGAGCCCCGCAUCAGGCU